This 254-nucleotide ribosomal RNA is filed under the name uncultured bacterium. Its description in RNAcentral is "partial 16S ribosomal RNA". It matches the Rfam family "Bacterial small subunit ribosomal RNA", at positions 524 to 776 of the family's 1533-position model. The record is from RNAcentral.
UACGGGGGGAGCAAGCGUUGUUCGGAUUUACUGGGCGUAAAGGGCGCGUAGGCGGUCAGCACAAGUCAGUUGUGAAAUCUCCGGGCUUAACUCGGAAAGGUCAACUGAUACUGUGCGACUAGAGUGCGGAAGGGGCAACUGGAAUUCUCGGUGUAGCGGUGAAAUGCGUAGAUAUCGAGAGGAACACCUGCGGCGAAAGCGGCUCUCUGGGACGGUACUGACGCUGAGACGCGAAAGCGUGGGGAGCAAACAGG